Molecule: ribosomal RNA, 497 nt
Filed under: uncultured bacterium
Lineage: Bacteria
Description: partial 16S ribosomal RNA
Rfam family: Bacterial small subunit ribosomal RNA
Source: RNAcentral
GAUGAACGCUGGCGGCGUGCCUAAUACAUGCAAGUCGAGCGAACGGACGAGAAGCUUGCUUCUCUGAUGUUAGCGGCGGACGGGUGAGUAACACGUGGAUAACCUACCUAUAAGACUGGGAUAACUUCGGGAAACCGGAGCUAAUACCGGAUAAUAUUUUGAACCGCAUGGUUCAAAAGUGAAAGACGGUCUUGCUGUCACUUAUAGAUGGAUCCGCGCUGCAUUAGCUAGUUGGUAAGGUAACGGCUUACCAAGGCAACGAUGCAUAGCCGACCUGUGAGGGGGAUCGGCCACACUGGAACUGGGACGCGGUCCAGACUCCUACGGGAGGCAGCAGUAGGGAAUCUUCCGCAAUGGGCGAAAGCCUGACGGAGCGACGCCGCGUGAGUGAUGAAGGUCUUCGGAUCGUAAAACUCUGUUAUUAGUGGAGAACAUAUGUGUAAGUAACUGUGCACAUCUUGACGGUACCGAAUCAGAAAGCCCCGGCUAACUACGUG